GAGUUCCUCCUUGUGCAGCUCUAGCAAUAUGUUAAAAUCUAACUUUGCAAAAUUCAGCAGAGUUUUAUUGUGUAAAUGAUCACUUGUUGAAUUGAUCAUGGACAUAAAAUACCUCGCCUCUAAUCUUGGUAGGGUUUUACGAAGAGGACGGUAUAAAGCAUGAUUUAUCUGUUCCGCAAGCUUAGGGGUUACAUGAUCCUGAGCUACCAAUGACUUCAGGUGAGUGGUAGUGAAAGCAAUGGCUUCAUCUAAUAUAUGUUCUCCGCGAACUGCCAUGUAUGCUGCCUCGUACAAACUUAACAUCCCUUGAACAUCGUUUAUCAACGAUGACUUGAAUCUACCCUCAUCAUCUUUGAACUUCUCAAACACAUCUGAUUAUCACAUUCAAAAAGUAAAUUACUGAAGGCUUACAUGAUUAAUAAUUAGUCAAUGAUUUUGUAAUUGCAAUAAUGUUAGAGCCACAAAUUCUUCAUACAUUACAAACUCAUCAAGUCGCAUCAUAAUUUUGGUUAGAUAAAUAUACCACAUGACUUAUUUUCAUUAUUAUUUUUAUUAAUCAAUCAAUACUCUUAUAUGAAAAUAAAAAAGUAGGGUGAGGGUAAAAUCUAAAUUGAUAUUUUAGCCCCGGCCUAGCUUACAUUAUUCAAACUCAAGUGGUUAGCUAAAGAAAACUACUUGAAAAUCAGUCGUCCAAAUCUCUAGAGACAAAUACAAUAAAAAGUGUUUGUGACUGUCGCAUUACUCACAAUUGUAAUAGCUUGAGUGAGAUUACAUACCACAUGAAAUCUUGAUUCCUUGCUGCCUAAGCAAUCGAAAAUGAAGAGAAACGGUGUGAAGAUCAGGGCUAUUACUGUGAAUAUAGUUUGGACAUAAUUUUUGUAUUGCAUCUUCUAUUUCUUUCUCAAAGUGAUAAGCCACCCCCAGGCGUUGUACUUCAUCAAUCAAGCGUAACUUCUGAACAGGCUUAUCUUCAGCAUCUGUUAUCAUUCUCCUUACCUCUUCUUUCAGUGCCUCGUGUCGUUCUUGAGUUGCAGUAUGAUCAACUGUCUGAAGCACAAAAAAUAAUUUGUUAAAUUCAUACAAUAUCUGAUGAAUGGUCAAUUUAAAAAAAAAAAAAGCUGCUUUAAAACCAUUUGGUCAAACUCCUGAAGAUACGGUACAUGCUCACUUAACAAAUCGAGUCCUAUAUGGGAUGUUUGGGUUCAUCUUUACCUUGAAAUCAGAAGCACCUUUGAGGAAAUGGUUUCUCCAUAAACUAGGAUGGAAAUCUGCAGUAGGACGAAAUGUUUCUCCAGACGACAUUUUUGUGUCAGACAAACGGGUGCUGCAGAAUUUUGAUAUUUCUGUGGAAUUAUAAUUUGUAUUUCUACUACUACUGCACCCUUUAAUAUAUACUAAUUCGAUUAUAUCAAGACGGACGCAUGCAACUUGUCUUGAAAGCCUUUUAAUUUAAUUUAUUAUCAAUUCCGAUUCAUUUAAACGCUUGGAUGCAUGGAAACCACGUGAUGGGUCAAUUUUUGACUUUCUGUUAGAUUCUCAAAAUUGUGUCAAUUUUUUUUUCUUUUUCUUUUUGGCCUAUUUAUAACUUAUGGUUUUAAUGGAAAGAUUUUAGUGCAUAUCUGUAUCAUAUUGACAAGUGACAACAACUAGUGUAUUUACUGGGAUAAUUAUUUUUCAGGUAACUCGUUCUCUGUUUAAUCGCAACAAAAUGGCUUGUCUCUAAUUAGAGUUUGAUUAUAUGUUUAAGCUCUUGGUUCUAUUUAGAGUUAGGACUCCAGAAAGUGUUCGUAGAGUUUACACGUACAAGAGAAAUUUUGUUGCUUGCAAUAUUUGGCAUGUAAGGCGGAUGAAAAAUAGGCUUGGGCAUAUGUAUUACAUUGUUUCGGAGUUAGUGCUGAGAUUUUGGCUAACUUUUUAGAAAUAUAUAAUUAGUAGUUAUUUGGAUAAAAAUAUAAAACUAAUUAAAUUUUAACUAUGUAUACGUUUAGGUAUGGAAAAAGACUAUAAAAAAGUUUAGCACAGUUAAACUCAGUAUUGGAUCCAAAUCUGUAAUACAUGGGAACUAUUGAACCUAUCAAGAAGAGCUGACUUGUUAGAAAGAGAUUUGUAAUAAUUCAGGGAGAGAUGUGUUAAAAUUUUAGCAAAAUUUCAGGGGCGAUGAAUGAAAUAUUUUCUAAACUUUUGUGAAACUUAAAUUUACCCAUAGAUAUUUUGUGUAAUUUUAUAGGUGGAGCAGAUAUAUCCCUCCCAAAAUUGUGUACAAUAUGCAUAUCAGUAAUUAAAGAAAAAAAAAUUGGGGAUGAUGAUGCAUACCUCCUCUUUUGCAUAACGUACGCAGUGUGAUCUUCCUUGCUUGGCCAUAUCUUCCUCAAUUUCAUUAAAAGCAUCUAAGAGUGUCCUGUAAAUCAAUUUCAUGUAUUCUGGAAGCGUAUCUACGGCCUCAAUAUUCCAUCUGGAAAUCAAUUUAAUAACCAUUUUAUAAUAAUAGCAACAAAAAUUUAAUUCUGAAAUUCAAAAUUAAUUAGCUAUACGCAGGGCACUAACCUUUGAACUGCUUCAGUAAAGAGGCUGAGUUCUUCAAGUGUACCAUACGCAUCAUAAGUAUCAUCUAUGAUGGAUAAUAUGUAAUUUAAUUGGGUCAUUAUCUUUCUCCCAAAUGCAUAUUGAGGCUCGAAGUAUGUCCCUAAAUCCCAAAAAUAUAACUCCACUAAUCUGUCUCUUGCAUAAGGUAGUUUUGUAGUGAAGUCUAAAUCUUUCCACCACCUGAAAUAAGAAUAUAUACAUUUGUCACGAUUCUAUUGUUUGGAUGUACGACGGAGGUAUAAAAGAAUUUCUCCCUAUCGAAAGAACUUACUUUGUUAAUUCAUUGAGUUCCUCCUUGUGCAGCUCUAGCAAUAUGUUAAAAUCUAACUUUGCAAAAUUCAGCAGAGUUUUAUUGUAUAAAUGAUCACUUGUUGAAUUGAUCAUGGACAUAAAAUACCUCGCCUCUAAUCUUGGUAGGGUUUUACGAAGAGGACGGUAUAAAGCAUGAUUUAUCUGUUCCGCAAGCUUAGGGGUUACAUGAUCCUGAGCUACCAAUGACUUCAGGUGAGUGGUAGUGAAAGCAAUGGCUUCAUCUAAUAUAUGUUCUCCGCGAACUGCCAUGUAUGCUGCCUCGUACAAACUUAACAUCCCUUGAACAUCGUUUAUCAACGAUGACUUGAAUCUACCCUCAUCAUCUUUGAACUUCUCAAACACAUCUGAUUAUCACAUUCAAAAAGUAAAUUACUGAAGGCUUACAUGAUUAAUAAUUAUUCAAUGAUUUUGUAAUUUCAAUAAUGUUAGAGCCACAAAUUCUUCAUACAUUACAAACUCAUGAAGUCGCAUCAUAAUUUUGGUUAGAUAAAAAUACCACAUGACUUAUUUUCAUUAUUAUUUUUAUUAAUCAAUCAAUACUCUUACAUGAAAAUAAAAAAGUAGGGUGAGGGUAAAAUCUAAAUUGAUAUUUUAGCCCCGGCCUAGCUUACAAUAUUCAAACUCAAGUGGUUAGCUAAAGAAAACUACUUGAAAAUCAGUCGUCCAAAUCUCUAGAGACAAAUACAAUAAAAAGUGUUUGUGACUGUCGCAUUACUCACAAUUGUAAUAGCUUGAGUGAGAUUACAUACCACAUGAAAUCUUGAUUCCUUGCUGCCUAAGCAAUCGAAAAUGAAGAGAAACGGUGUGAAGAUCAGGGCUAUUACUGUGAAUAUAGUUUGGACAUAAUUUUUGUAUUGCAUCUUCUAUUUCUUUCUCAAAGUGAUAAGCCACCCCCAGGCGUUGUACUUCAUCAAUCAAGCGUAACUUCUGAACAGGCUUAUCUUCAGCAUCUGUUAUCAUUCUCCUUACCUCUUCUUUCAGUGCCUCGUGUCGUUCUUGAGUUGCAGUAUGAUCAACUGUCUGAAGCACAAAAAAUAAUUUGUUAAAUUCAUACAAUAUCUGAUGAAUGGUCAAUUUAAAAAAAAAAAAAGCUGCUUUAAAACCAUUUGGUCAAACUCCUGAAGAUACGGUACAUGCUCACUUAACAAAUCGAGUCCUAUAUGGGAUGUUUGGGUUCAUCUUUACCUUGAAAUCAGAAGCACCUUUGAGGAAAUGGUUUCUCCAUAAACUAGGAUGGAAAUCUGCAGUAGGACGAAAUGUUUCUCCAGACGACAUUUUUGUGUCAGACAAACGGGUGCUGCAGAAUUUUGAUAUUUCUGUGGAAUUAUAAUUUGUAUUUCUACUACUACUGCACCCUUUAAUAUAUACUAAUUCGAUUAUAUCAAGACGGACGCAUGCAACUUGUCUUGAAAGCCUUUUAAUUUAAUUUAUUAUCAAUUCCGAUUCAUUUAAACGCUUGGAUGCAUGGAAACCACGUGAUGGGUCAAUUUUUGACUUUCUGUUAGAUUCUCAAAAUUGUGUCAAUUUUUUUUUCUUUUUCUUUUUGGCCUAUUUAUAACUUAUGGUUUUAAUGGAAAGAUUUUAGUGCAUAUCUGUAUCAUAUUGACAAGUGACAACAACUAGUGUAUUUACUGGGAUAAUUAUUUUUCAGGUAACUCGUUCUCUGUUUAAUCGCAACAAAAUGGCUUGUCUCUAAUUAGAGUUUGAUUAUAUGUUUAAGCUCUUGGUUCUAUUUAGAGUUAGGACUCCAGAAAGUGUUCGUAGAGUUUACACGUACAAGAGAAAUUUUGUUGCUUGCAAUAUUUGGCAUGUAAGGCGGAUGAAAAAUAGGCUUGGGCAUAUGUAUUACAUUGUUUCGGAGUUAGUGCUGAGAUUUUGGCUAACUUUUUAGAAAUAUAUAAUUAGUAGUUAUUUGGAUAAAAAUAUAAAACUAAUUAAAUUUUAACUAUGUAUACGUUUAGGUAUGGAAAAAGACUAUAAAAAAGUUUAGCACAGUUAAACUCAGUAUUGGAUCCAAAUCUGUAAUACAUGGGAACUAUUGAACCUAUCAAGAAGAGCUGACUUGUUAGAAAGAAGAUAUCUUGAUAAAGUUGGCAUGUCUCUUGUAAAGAGAAAAAAAAAAUUAUUAGAAAAGAGAUGGCAUAAAACCAUUAGUAAUUUUGUUGCCUUAAAAACAAAAAUUUAAUGAAGAUCGAACGUCGUGGGCAAAAACGGAAUUCAAAAAUAAAUUUCGUGAUUAAGAAAUGGCCACAACUAUGGUACCACUGUGGUACCAUAGCCGGACCCUUAAGAAAUUUAUGAAUUAUUCACAGGAUUACAAUUUCUUGAGAAUUAAGUAGUCAAAAUAGGAGAGCUAACCGAAUUUAAUUUGAUCUAAUUUAUUUAACCAACAGUCCGUAAUUAAUUGGAUUUGAUUUGAUUUUCUUAUUUUUUUAUUCAACUCAAUCUUCCAAGGACGAAAUAAAAUUUGAUCCAAUUUUAUUCAAUUUAACAAUAACCAAUCUAAAUAACAACAAAAUCAUAUUGUAAAUAUCGAUUCGAAUCAAAUUAAUUAAUUUAAAAGUAUAGUAUUUUCAAAAUAUCUUUUAGAUAUGAUGGUUUUGAGUUUUUAAUCUAUAAUACGUGAUGGAAUGGGGUCAGGUACAAUUUCUAGUACUUUCAUAAAAAGAUUUUAGAUACACGGGUUUUGACCUUUUAUUCUAUAAUACAUGAUGGAGAGAGAUCAGAUAUAAUUAAAAUAAUUCUAUAUUUAUUUUUUUAUUAUAUUUUAUUAUGUAAUAAUGGAGAUUGAUUUUUUUUAGUAAUUAUAGCUAUUUUAAAUUUGUUAUUCCAGAUUUUAUCUUAAAUGAUCGGUUAUUUAUUAAGUGGUUGAUAAUUUUUUUAUAAGAUUCAGGUAAAUUAAUUGUAUUAUCUUAUCAUCCAAUUGAUGUAUGCUAUAUCACUUGGAUAUUUUUUAGGAUAAAAAAUUUAGAAUGUAUGGCACUACUCUUUUUUUUUUUUUUUUGUGAGAUUAUUUGAACCGACUAAAUUACUCUCAACACUAAUUUGCUUAAUAAAUCCAUGACUAAAGUUUAAAAAUAAAAUUUUACUUUAUAUGCUCACCUAAAUGCCCGAUUUACCCCUAUCUCUUUGUAACAUUAUUUGAAAAGCAAAAAGAAGAGAAAGGGGAAAAAAACUUGACAUGGUAUCUUUUAGAUCGGAAAAGAGAGAAGCUUGAUUGUUGGAAUGCAUAGAUAAUCCAAAUCCAAAUCUCAUUUCCAUCUUAAAUCGGUAAUCCAAUUUGGCUACCAUUACAACCAGUAAGUUUAUUUUUUCAAAUUAGAAUACAACAUGCACUACUAGAAAAAUGGUCUUUACUGAUACUUAGUUUGUGACACUUUAUUAAAAAGUAUCAGUAUUUACAUAUAUAUGGACCAUUUUCCGUGUUUAACAUAUAAGUAUCACAAAAUACUAAUACUAUGGUGUCUCUAAAUUAAACAUCAGAGAUUACUGACACUAAAGUAUCUGUAAAAAAUUUAAAGUAAUUAUGAUAUUGGUCCCGAUAAAACUCGAACCCAAGACCUAUAAAAAUUAAGCUUUUAAGUUUUAAACAAAAGCCAUUAUAAUUUUUUGCAAUGACACUAAGGUAUCGCUAACUGUUAAAAAAACAAAAACAAAAACACACGCACACAUUCACACAUGACACCUCACCCCACACACUCACAAGACGCAAAAACAAACCCUAAGUCCUUAACAAUUAACAUUACAAUACUUUGAAAGAGAGAGAGAGAGCGCCGCUACUCUCGAUCCAGUGCUCCAACACCGGCUCAGAUCUCUCGCUUUUAUAUCACCGCGUCAAGCCUCUCCGUCACGCCGUCAAGCCUCCAUCAAGUGUCACUGCUUCAAGCCUCCAUCAAGUGUCACUGCGUCAAGCCUCUCUGUCACGUUGUCAAGCUUCCAUCAUGCGUCACCGCGUCAAGCCUCUCUCUGCUGUCAUAAGCCACCGAUGCGGCACCGCGCCAUUGGUAGUGUCGUUAAGGUGCACCAAAUUUAAAACCUUACCACUAAUAUAAAUAAUUAGUACAGAGCGAGUAAGGAUUGAUCCCACAGAGACUAUACUAGUUAUAUUUAUUAUUAACUCUAAAGCAAUAUUUGAAAUAAAAUAAUGGUAGUAAUAAUAAGAGUAAUAAUAAUAUAAAUUAAUCUAACUAAAGAAAAUGCCAAUUAUAAAUAAAAAGGGGGUUUAUGAAUUUUUUAACUAAAUAGUAAGAAGUAAAGAAAUUAAAACUACGAACAAGAAUUCAAUAAAAACUCUAAUUAAAGGAGAAAGAAAUAAUAAUCAAUUUAAGAUAACGGAAGCAUUAAAUAAAGAAAGAUAUUAUGUUGAUCUAGGCAAUAAACACACAAGCUCGGAUUAUUUAACCUAGGUUAUGUUCUUCAAUUGAAAUCAUGAAUUCCAACCUGCUACUAAUGAUUAAAAUAUCAAGACAAUUACAGAUCAAGAAUUUUAAUCUAACAAUAAAAUUUAUUCAAGUCCUAUCUAAUUGACCACUCAAAUAAAACAAGAAUAAACCAUGAACAUUAAUUAUAGAAGAACAUAAACAAUCUCAAUUAAAUAAAUUGAAUGAUAGAAUUUAAAUUUAAUUGCAUAGCAUGUUUAGGGUUUUGAAUUCACCCUCAACCAAAUAAAAAUCUAGCCUAACAUAAUUGAAUUGGGAAUAAGAGAAUUGAUAAAACCAGUCAUGUAGAUUAAUUCAAGCGGCUGCCUUUGCUUCAAUUUUAAUUCCUUCCGGCGUCUCCCUUGUUUUUUUCCUUCUUGCAGCUGCAAUCUCAAAUUCUCUUGCUGCCGAUUCUCCUCCAGUGUUGAUUCUGCUUGAUCCUAUUUAUAAUGCUUCAAUUGUGGCUUUUUUAAAUCCUUGCCUGGAAAGAAUUAAAUUCAAAGCCCAAAACCGCCACUUUCAUGCUUCAAUUAAUAAGCCAAUAAUGAUUUCCUAAAGCCAAAAGGCUUUAUUCUCUUUCCUUUCACGUGGCCACUUUUGAUUUGCAAUCUUUGUUUUCCAAUUUUGCUUUCAUGUGAUGGCUUGGCUUGUUAAUUGGUUUGGCUUCCUUUUUGACUUUCAUUUUCUAAUUUUAGCUCCAUGUACAACAUUAAUUUUGCUUGGCCGAUACAAGCUUUAAUUAAAUUUAUUUUCUAAUUCCUUCCAAUUCUUGAUCUCUUGUGCACUUUUGUCUUUCAAUCUUCAAUCAAAUUUCUGUCCUGAAUGCUCCGAUUUAAUUUCUCUUUAAUUCCAGAAUAUACCUAAAAUAAAAAAAUAAAUAAAACUAAGAUAAAAAUUAACACAAUAAAAUAUAAUUUACUAAAUUAAAAGUUAACUAAAAUAACUAGAAUAUUUAAGACCAAAACAAGAAAAAGAUAGAGAAAUUAAUAGCAAAAUAUAUGGAAAAUAUGCACUUAUCAGCCAUCACUAGCCAACCAGCCACCAAAAUUGACAGCCGUGCUAGCUACCCACCAUCACAAUACCCUACCACUGCCUGCUAAUACUCCAAAAAAUCUUCUCAAAACUUCGAGCCACAGUGUCCAGGUCUGGUUUUUCAAGUCUUGCUUUUUUAAGUUUUUAGUAUCAUCAAGUCUUGCUUCUUCAAGUCUUAAAGUGUAUCUUCAGUCACCAAUUAUAUUUAUGGGUAUUCACUGGUUCGUUGAGUAAUUUUUUCAAACAGAUGGGGUAUUGCGUCAUAACAGCCUUGUAUAUUUCUAUAUCUAAUAUUGAAUGAAUGAAUGAAUCUAUGUGUAGCUUACGAAAUGCAAAAUCAGGAGUAGUAACAAUUAAAGAACAAUUAAAACUGAAAUGAAAGCAUAAUCACAAGUUGUUUAUUGAUUUACCUUUCAAUAAAUCUCUCUCUCACACUUACACACUCUGCUCUCUAACCUACCUUUUUGACUUGGCUCCCAAAAAAUAAUAAAGUAAAAUUUUGGUCCCAAGAAAGUUUGAUUUCUAAACAAAGGGGAAAAAAAAGUUAAAAGAAAGUAAGAUUUAUUUUACAAAUUUUACGGUGCUUCUCUUUUAGAACUGUAUGUAUAAAUAAUAAUAAUAAUAUGAGUUUCAUAGAAAAUUUAAUUUAUUUGAUCAUGUUCAUUGAUAUGCUUUAACAAUGCUUUAUUAAUUCUGUUAAUUUGCUUUAACAAUGCUUUAUUAAUUCUAUUAAUUGCACUUCUUAACUCCUACUUAUCAUAUGAUUAACCCCUUAGUUUGGUUGGGAUGAUUGGUACUUUCUAUUUUUAACUUAUGGUGGAGCGUUUGAGUCUUGCGGUGACCUAUUAGUUUGGUUAAGUUGAUCGGCACUUUCUAUCUUUAACUUACGAUGGAGCAUUCGAGUCUGGCAGUAAAUAUAUAUUAGAGUUUAUUUUUUUAUUCGAAGGGAAAAUCUUUAAAUAACAAUAAAAAUAUAAAAUAUUUAUUAGUACAGACCAAUACGAUACACCGUAUUUCCUUCAAACACAAACCAAGGAACUGAAAAUAUUAUUAAUAGAAGUAUAGAACUAGUCGUCAAAAUGGAACGUGGUCUCCUAGCACAGAAGCAAUUUGAUCUUUAAUUAGGUAAGAAUGCGUAUAGCCGUCGUCCUCUUUGUAAAUAAAAUCAAUUGCACGAGCAAGAUUAAGAAUCGUCCCGAGCAGUGGUCGGGCAACGACGGUUGGCUUCAUCAUCAACUCCUCGUUAAUAUCUUUCCAUGCAUUUGCAACUUCUUCUUCAAACAUUUUAAUUGCCUCUUCCUUAGAGACACCAUGCUGCUUCGUGUAACAUUCAAUAGCUGACGCAACAUGUCCUCUCUUCUGCUCAAACUACAUAUAUAAUAACAUAUGGUUUAGUAUCGGUGCCUGUUUAGAUUGGUAUAUAUUAGGAGAUUUAUAAGUAAUUAUAGUAAUUAUUCGAAAAAUUAAAAGUUAAUUUUGAUGUAUACACACACACACCCCACUUUUCAGUGCGCAGAUUUUUAAAAAAUAUAAUAACAUAGAUUGGAGGGUUUUGAUAAAUUUUCUAUAAAAGUGCGGGGUUAUGUAAUUUAUUUGAUCAUGUUCAUUGAUAUGCUUUAACAAUGCUUUAUUAAUUCUGUUAAUUUGCUUUAACAAUGCUUUAUUAAUUCUAUUAAUUGCACUUCUUAACUCCUACUUAUCAUAUGAUUAACCCCUUAGUUUGGUUGGGAUGAUUGGUACUUUCUAUUUUUAACUUAUGGUGGAGCGUUUGAGUCUUGCGGUGACCUAUUAGUUUGGUUAAGUUGAUCGGCACUUUCUAUCUUUAACUUACGAUGGAGCAUUCGAGUCUGGCAGUAAAUAUAUAUUAGAGUUUAUUUUUUUAUUCGAAGGGAAAAUCUUUAAAUAACAAUAAAAAUAUAAAAUAUUUAUUAGUACAGACCAAUACGAUACACCGUAUUUCCUUCAAACACAAACCAAGGAACUGAAAAUAUUAUUAAUAGAAGUAUAGAACUAGUCGUCAAAAUGGAACGUGGUCUCCUAGCACAGAAGCAAUUUGAUCUUUAAUUAGGUAAGAAUGCGUAUAGCCGUCGUCCUCUUUGUAAAUAAAAUCAAUUGCACGAGCAAGAUUAAGAAUCGUCCCGAGCAGUGGUCGGGCAACGACGGUUGGCUUCAUCAUCAACUCCUCGUUAAUAUCUUUCCAUGCAUUUGCAACUUCUUCUUCAAACAUUUUAAUUGCCUCUUCCUUAGAGACACCAUGCUGCUUCGUGUAACAUUCAAUAGCUGACGCAACAUGUCCUCUCUUCUGCUCAAACUACAUAUAUAAUAACAUAUGGUUUAGUAUCGGUGCCUGUUUAGAUUGGUAUAUAUUAGGAGAUUUAUAAGUAAUUAUAGUAAUUAUUCGAAAAAUUAAAAGUUAAUUUUGAUGUAUAUAUACACACACACCCCCCACUUUUCAGUGCGCAGAUUUUAAAAAAAUAUAAUAACAUAGAUUGGAGGGUUUUGAUAAAUUUUCUAUAAAAGUGCGGGGUUAUGUAUUUUUUAUUUUGCAUACCUCAUGACCUUGCAUGUCAUCCAUGAGUCUGCAGAUAACUGAUGCUGCUUUUACAACCUUAGGGUUAUUGGAGAUCCAUUCAAAAACCUCUUUAGUUGCAAAAUCACCCAUGCCAAGGAAGGAAUUUGUUAUGACGAAUGUGUAAGCACAACUUGUUAGUGCAAUAGGCAUAUACUCCUCAAUUGUUGGAACGUAACCUUCACUGAACCAUUUGGCUUGAACAGAGUAUGCUCCAAUUACUUUUUGAUUCUGAGAAGCAAAACGCAGCUAAACCUUAGCCGUUAUAAAAACAAUAAUAAGAAAUAAGUUUUUUAAAUUUUAAUAUACCUGUUGUGAUAUAUUAAUUUGAUCUAAUUAAUUUCUAAGAGCCAAUAAUUCAGUAAGAUUUAUGGUUGAUGAGUGAGAUUUCUCAUCUCCAUCCAAACAAACUUAACAAAUAGAAGGAAACAACCUCCAUUAUAAAACACACUUUUGAUAAGUUUUAUGUAACCUAACAAAUAGCUCCAAGGGCUUAAGCUAAUUAUCCAAUGAAUUCUUACAUUUGUAAUAAUUCAGGGAGAGAUGUGUUAAAAUUUUAGCAAAAUUUCAGGGGUGAUGAAUGAAAUAUUUUCUAAACUUUUGUGAAACUUAAAUUUACCCAUAGAUAUUUUGUGUAAUUUUAUAGGUGGAGCAGAUAUAUCCCUCCCAAAAUUGUGUACAAUAUGCAUAUCAGUAAUUAAAGAAAAAAAAAUUGGGGAUGAUGAUGCAUACCUCCUCUUUUGCAUAACGUACGCAGUGUGAUCUUCCUUGCUUGGCCAUAUCUUCCUCAAUUUCAUUAAAAGCAUCUAAGAGUGUCCUGUAAAUCAAUUUCAUGUAUUCUGGAAGCAUAUCUACGGCCUCAAUAUUCCAUCUGGAAAUCAAUUUAAUAACCAUUUUAUAAUAAUAGCAACAAAAAUUUAAUUCUGAAAUUCAAAAUUAAUUAGCUAUACGCAGGGCACUAACCUUUGAACUGCUUCAGUAAAGAGGCUGAGUUCUUCAAGUGUACCAUACGCAUCAUAAGUAUCAUCUAUGAUGGAUAAUAUGUAAUUUAAUUGGGUCAUUAUCUUUCUCCCAAAUGCAUAUUGAGGCUCGAAGUAUGUCCCUAAAUCCCAAAAAUAUAACUCCACUAAUCUGUCUCUUGCAUAAGGUAGUUUUGUAGUGAAGUCUAAAUCUUUCCACCACCUGAAAUAAGAAUAUAUACAUGUGUCACGAUUCUAUUGAUUGGAUGUACGACGGAGGUAUAAAAGAAUUUCUCCCUAUCGAAAGAACUUACUUUGUUAAUUCAUUGAGUUCCUCCUUGUGCAGCUCUAGCAAUAUGUUAAAAUCUAACUUUGCAAAAUUCAGCAGAGUUUUAUUGUGUAAAUGAUCACUUGUUGAAUUGAUCAUGGACAUAAAAUACCUCGCCUCUAAUCUUGGUAGGGUUUUACGAAGAGGACGGUAUAAAGCAUGAUUUAUCUGUUCCGCAAGCUUAGGGGUUACAUGAUCCUGAGCUACCAAUGACUUCAGGUGAGUGGUAGUGAAAGCAAUGGCUUCAUCUAAUAUAUGUUCUCCGCGAACUGCCAUGUAUGCUGCCUCGUACAAACUUAACAUCCCUUGAACAUCGUUUAUCAACGAUGACUUGAAUCUACCCUCAUCAUCUUUGAACUUCUCAAACACAUCUGAUUAUCACAUUCAAAAAGUAAAUUACUGAAGGCUUACAUGAUUAAUAAUUAGUCAAUGAUUUUGUAAUUGCAAUAAUGUUAGAGCCACAAAUUCUUCAUACAUUACAAACUCAUCAAGUCGCAUCAUAAUUUUGGUUAGAUAAAUAUACCACAUGACUUAUUUUCAUUAUUAUUUUUAUUAAUCAAUCAAUACUCUUAUAUGAAAAUAAAAAAGUAGGGUGAGGGUAAAAUCUAAAUUGAUAUUUUAGCCCCGGCCUAGCUUACAUUAUUCAAACUCAAGUGGUUAGCUAAAGAAAACUACUUGAAAAUCAGUCGUCCAAAUCUCUGGGGACAAAUACAAUAAAGUGUUUGUGGCUGUCGCAUUACUCACAAUUGUAAUAGCUUGAGUGAGAUUACAUACCACA
RNAcentral lists this long non-coding RNA (12979 nucleotides) under Citrus sinensis (sweet orange). Its description in RNAcentral is "long non-coding RNA (CSIN_LNC002013)". Lineage: Eukaryota; Viridiplantae; Streptophyta; Magnoliopsida; Sapindales; Rutaceae. The record is from RNAcentral.